This 397-nucleotide long non-coding RNA is filed under the name Rattus norvegicus (Norway rat). RNAcentral's name for it is "long non-coding RNA NONRATT022667". Lineage: Eukaryota; Metazoa; Chordata; Mammalia; Rodentia; Muridae. The record is from RNAcentral.
GAGGAUAUGCUGGCCCUGCGGGAGAGAAGGGGGAGUCGGUAAGCUGCAGCUGCAGUGGGUGUGGGUGUAAGGAGAGCUUCAAACGGGGUGUCCCCACCCCGCCACCUUCAUCAACUGGACUGGAGAUCUUCCCACGAGGAGGAGCCCGCGACCCCUGCUGCCCCUGCCCGAGUCACUCCAGCUGGGGCUCUGCACAGGCUGGUGGCUGUGGCUGUGGAGGCGGAGGCUGUGAGGAGAUCCCAGCAGGCUUCUUGCAGAGAAGGCGACUGAGGAGGGGAAGGGGGGGCCCAGUCAGCUGGCAGAAUUCCCCUCUCCUGCCAGAUCAGGGCCAGGGGCUUCUUUUUUCUAUUGAGGCCACCUUCAUGGGGGUCCUACGCUGAAGGAAGGAGCUGAGGAC